UUUUUUUUUUUUUUUUCAUCUUUUCAGGGCCAUACCCAUGGCAUAUGGAGGUUCCCAGGCUAAAGGUUGAAUCGGAGCUGCAGUCGCUGGCCAAUGCCACAGCCACAGCCAUGCCAGAUCCGAGACGUGUCUGUGACCUACACCACAGCUUAUGGCAAUGCCGGAUCCUCGACCCACCGAGCGAGGCCGGGGAUCGAACCCACGUCCUCAUGGAUGCUAGUCGGGUUCAUUAACCAUCUAAGCCAUGAUGGGAAUUCCGAUUGACUGCAUUCUAGUUUGAGUAACUAAAUAGAUGGAAUGUCACCACAAAGAUACAAAGCACAGGUAAGGGAAGGGAGCAAAUGGCCAGUCAACUGUGCCAGCUUAGGCUAAGUCUGCAGUGCUGAUGAGACAUCUAAGAGAAGCCAUCCAGUUGAUGACUGUACAUAAGAGUCCAGAACUCAAGGUCCAGAUCAGAGCUGGAGAUCACAGUUACAGAUAGUAGUUACAAACCACAGAUUUUCUGGGAAUGGAGUGGGGUUAAGAGGAAAGAAAAGGCAAACUCAACACUGAGGGGUCAGUGGGACUACCAACACUGAGGGGUCAGUGGGACUCAUGAAGAGGAAACCCUAAGGAAACUGAGGGUGUGACCAAUAGUUAAAUAGGCCAGACACACCCAAGAAAAAAAGGAUGAAAACUUUCCACUUGGUUCUAUGGUGAGGACACUAGUAGGUCCACCCAGAGCAGGUGGAGUGGAGUGAUGAGGACAUAAGCCACCCAACCUUAUAUUAAGGAGCAAAUGGGAAAUGAGUGGACAGGGCAUAAGAAGACAGUAGAGCACUCUUUCCAGAUGCUUGGCUGUGAAGGAAAAGACAGAGUUAGGGCAAACGUAUGGCUUCAAGCACAAUGGUCAUGAACUUAGGGGGAAAGCCAGGAGGGAGAGAAGCUAUAAAAACAAAUGGUAACUGAAAGAGUGGGAUGAUGGUAGCUAUGAGAGGAGGAGGGGUACAAAGCCAUGGUGAUGGGAUACGUCUUAGGAAGAGCACGUCUCUCUAGGAAUGGGAGGGAGUAGGAGCAAAGAGGGAAAGAGCAGAAAAUAGGAGAAAAGGAUAAAAUGUGGCAGCUGGAUCAUCCUCACAAUCUAAUCUUUGGAGUUCUUCUUCCAGGAGUUAGUGAGAACUCUUGGUCACUAUGCUCUAUGAUGUAUUUUUCGCUCCUGCCCCUUCCUUCCUUUCCUCAUUGCCCCUUCUUUGUGCUCCGGGCUACCUGCCCAUUUCCUUUUCACUGCCCCACUUGCCUGUCACUAAGAUGGUCUUUGUUGAACUUCCACAUCCACUAUGACCAGCCUUGUAGCACAGGACAAGCACUGAGGCAACCAAGGGAGGCUGGGACCGAGGUGUCCAGGUCCCAAGCACCCUAUACUCACCUAAUGAGCCAUCCAGGGGGUACAGGGAAACACAGCUGGAGGCAUUAUCAGGACCACAGUUAUCCUUCGGAGGAUAUCCUUGAUGGCAAGUGGAGAUGAUGCCACCACCUUCUUCAACAUUGACCUCAUAGAUUGAGGAGAUGGAAGAGUGCAGGAAGGUCAGCCCACCGAGACAUGAGUCUUUCAUCAGAUCCCUCGUCAUUUCCAACCCUUUCAAAUGAAAUCCAAAAUAUUCUCAGAUCCACAGGAUUGUACUUUUAUACUCAUUGCCUGAGAAAAUACAGCUCAAAAGGCUUCUCUUCAUCUGCUACUGUCUUAAGUAUUUUUUAUACAUAUUUGCAAUAUAUGUGAAUAUAUAAUUUCAAGACAUAUCUGUCUAUAAGCAAUGUUUGGUAAGUAUAUGGAUCUGGGGACACACUGCAAUAAAUCUACUUUUUCCCAGUUGUCAGGCUCUAAGGUCCACCUGCUGGAAAAGGCAGAUCCAGACUCUGUCCAGCAUUUGGGUGAAAGAUGGAGGGGGAAGAGAAUGCUCUGCCAUGGCAGAGAAGUACCUUCAUGAGAUCAAAUCAGGUAUCAGCAAGAUCAGAGAAUAGAAAUCCUCCCAGAGCCAAGAUUCUAUGGAAAGAUGAAGUUCGACAUAUCUUCAUCUCCUCCUGCGUGGAAUUGGCCAACCAGGCCCGAAGGCACCAAAGAGCAAUAUCUAAAUGAGCGUGUGACUCUCCAUAACUAAAUGAAUGUGUAGAGAUCACCAGAGUGAAAAACUGCUUAAAUGAGUAACUGUGUCAGUUAUCAUUUGCGUCAAAGCUCUCUCUUCAUUCUUACCGACAAUUAUCUUGGUCCCUCCUUCUCCACCCACUCAAUUUUGCAAUCCCUUACGUGCAAGCUAGAUGCUAUAUAUAUCAUGUACACCAUCUCAUUUAAUCUUGACAACACUUUCAUGGAGUAGGUAUUAUUAUCCUUGUUUUUAUAAAUGGGGAAAUGGAGGAUCAGAGAGGUCAACUGUUUUCUCCAAGGUCGGAGAGGCAAUAAUUGAUGGAGUUAGAAUCCACAUUCAGAUUCCAUAUGGUACAAAUUCUCUUUUCAAUACAGUGAGCUUCCCUCUUUCCCUCUGAACUACAGCAAUCGUGUGAAGAGAUGGAGUAGAAGUAGGGGCGGUAGUCAUUUUUUAAGUUUCCAGGCAGAAGGAACUCCUCCUAAUGGCAUUUCCAUAAUUAGAAGGCAUUUUUUUCUGAUAGUUAUAAUUCAGGCAAUUGGAGUGACAUUCAGCUGAAACCUGGCAUGCAAGAUGUUCGCUGCUCUUAAAAGUUCACUUUUAAUUGGUCCCAGUUCUUUCCAAGUCUGGAAGACAUACAGAAUGUGUACUUCUGACGUUUCCAAUGUUGACGUCUGUUUGACAGAAGGACUCAAUCCCUGGAGUUUCCACUGAAUACCCUUGUAAGAGAGGGAGGACGAGGUAAAAGCAGACAAAGAGGGAAGGAGGGAAAGAGAAAAGGAGGGGCCCUGUCAGAGCAUAGUGUUCCCGAAGGGACUCUAGACUCCAGAGUACAUUCUGUAAACAACACGGAAUAGGAAAAUAUCCUGCAAAGAAAAUCGCACACCCUCAUGCUUCACAGAUCUCUGGGGAAUUGGGGGCUGCAUCCAUGAUGCUCCAGUUUAUCAGUUCGGACCGUCCUUACUGGGUCUCCAACCAUUAGAAAAGUGGGCACCAUCCAGAGAAGUUGGACUGCAGUCUGUAAAGUGAAAAAUAACAUAAGACUCCUCUAGAAUUCUCACUGCAUUUCUGGGCUCAAGGAACAGCCCACAUCACAGAGAAUUCUAGAAUUUGUGCUAAUUGAAGGGAGAAAACCAAGGAACUAGAGCGAUGUGGUGGGGAGAACAAAGGAUGGAUGAAAUGGAGCCAGAAGAAGUAGAUUUAAGUCCCAGUCCAGCUCUAACACUCGAUCUCUAUGUAAACUCCUUAAGCCUCAACUUUCUGGG
Molecule: long non-coding RNA, 3382 nt
Filed under: Sus scrofa (pig)
Lineage: Eukaryota; Metazoa; Chordata; Mammalia; Artiodactyla; Suidae
Description: lncRNA (ENSSSCG00000059138.1)
Source: RNAcentral